This 773-nucleotide long non-coding RNA is filed under the name Amborella trichopoda. RNAcentral's name for it is "long non-coding RNA (ATRI_LNC005498)". The record is from RNAcentral. Lineage: Eukaryota; Viridiplantae; Streptophyta; Magnoliopsida; Amborellales; Amborellaceae.
UCUUUUGCUGCUUACAUGUUCUAUAUAUAGAAAGAGAGUUUUUCUCAAUGUAUAUCCACCUAGAAUUUUGGGGCAGUGAUGAAUUCACAACCAGAGAAGGCCCUUUUUGGGGUCCAUGAGAUUGCUCCCUCAAGAAGAAAUGGAAUUGUAAAGCUAAGAAAGAGAGAGAAACCCAUCCUUGUGUUAAAAAAAGAGAGAGAGAGAUGACCAUCCUUCAAUGUAUUUCGCAUCAAACAUGCCUGUAAAUGUCAAAUGGAUGGUUGUUGGCCCCUUAGUUGCUCAGACUUUAUAAUCUUCUUAGGUGAAGCUGCUAAAACUUGGGGGUGGAGUCCCCCACCACUGACUGGAUUAAAAAUACGAUCUAUUGUUAUCUUGACACUUCGACAAGUUACGGGGUCGGUCGACACGUGAUGACACAUCACUGUGUUCGACACACUUGCAAUGUAUUUUGCAUCAAACAGGCCUGUAAAUGUCAAAUGGAUGGUUGUUGGCCCCUUAGUUGUUGGAUGGUUGUUGGCCCCUUAGUUGUUCAGACUUUAUAAUCUUCAUAGGUGAAGCUGCUAAAACUUGGGGGUGGAGUCCCCCACCACUGACUGGAUUAAAAAUACGAUCUAUUGUUAUCUUGACACUUUGACAAGUUACGGGGUCGGUCGACACGCUGUAUUUGACACACUUUCAAUACAAGUCUGUCUCCCCAUUUUUUUUAAUAUGGCAUCGACACUUUCAAUACAAGUGUCAUAUUGUAUAACUUGGGAGACUUCCCCCCAAUUUAU